RNAcentral lists this transfer RNA (72 nucleotides) under Toxocara canis (dog roundworm). It matches the Rfam family "tRNA". Rfam says of the family: Transfer RNA (tRNA) molecules are approximately 80 nucleotides in length. Their secondary structure includes four short double-helical elements and three loops (D, anti-codon, and T loops). Further hydrogen bonds mediate the characteristic L-shaped molecular structure. tRNAs have two regions of fundamental functional importance: the anti-codon, which is responsible for specific mRNA codon recognition, and the 3' end, to which the tRNAs corresponding amino acid is attached (by aminoacyl-tRNA synthetases). tRNAs cope with the degeneracy of the genetic code in two manners: having more than one tRNA (with a specific anti-codon) for a particular amino acid; and 'wobble' base-pairing, i.e. permitting non-standard base-pairing at the 3rd anti-codon position. The record is from Rfam by way of RNAcentral. Lineage: Eukaryota; Metazoa; Nematoda; Chromadorea; Rhabditida; Toxocaridae.
GGGGCAGUAGCUCAGUGGUAGAGCUUCCCCUUCGUACGCGGGAAGACCUGGGUUCGAUUCCCGGGUGCUUUC